RNAcentral lists this long non-coding RNA (246 nucleotides) under Phoenix dactylifera (date palm). Its description in RNAcentral is "long non-coding RNA (PDAC_LNC019826)". Lineage: Eukaryota; Viridiplantae; Streptophyta; Magnoliopsida; Arecales; Arecaceae. The record is from RNAcentral.
CAGUUCAAGACUGCACAAAUCCCACGCAUAAGCUCGUGGCAGCUAUCCCACGCGUAAGCCCGUGGAGGCUAUCCUACGCAUAAGCUCGUAGAGGCUAUCCCACGCGUAAGCCCGUGGAGGCUAUCCUACGCAUAAGCUCGUAGAGGCUAUCUCAUGACAAGGUUAGUCCAAUCCAUUUUACAUGUCUAGUUUUACAUGUUUAAUCACAUUUCAAUCACGUCACAUAUUUUCAUAAUUUCUCAAAAA